RNAcentral lists this unclassified non-coding RNA (688 nucleotides) under Hevea brasiliensis (rubber tree). The record is from RNAcentral. Lineage: Eukaryota; Viridiplantae; Streptophyta; Magnoliopsida; Malpighiales; Euphorbiaceae.
AUUUUUUCUGUUUAAGAAACACUGCAUUUAAGCACCACAGACUGAGAAAUAAUGAAAAUAAUCUUACCGAAACUUAUCUGUAUCUCAAAAAUUCAAAAAAUUUAUGAGGAAGCAUUUGGAAGUUGAAUCAUCCCCAAAGCUCGCUAGAGCCACCGUCGGAACCACCACGCACGGUGGCCGGCCGUUGAUUGCCAGCGACGUCUGCAAGAACUGGUUACACUAAAAUGUUCCUUUCCUCCUCCUGAGUCCAUAGGUGGUCUUGGAUCACCGAUCCAUCGGUCAAAUUGUCGAAAAUCUCGUCGAAAAGUUAAAAAAAAGUCGAUUUUCUCUCUCCUCGCUGGCACCAAAAACGGCCAACAAAUCUGGCGAGGCUGGUCUCAUCUGAAAAAGCUCGCUCCUAGGAGUCCAUAGCCGCUGGAAUCACUCCAAUCGGACGUCAGGAUCACCGGAUACGAGCAUUCAAAGUUUGGGAUCCAUUUUCUUUGUUUAACAAAAACCAUAGCUGCAGUUGCCCAUUAUCGCCAAUCCUUGGCUUGCCGGCGUCGCUUGAAGUCCCUGGUCACUCACCGUUCAAUCACUGUCCAUGGGUGUGGUGUUGGCCGGAGCAAAACAAGGAGGGAGAGAGUUAACGUGAGAGGGAAAGAGAGAAUGGGGCUGUUACGGGAAAAAUUUAAUCUUUCAAUUUUUU